UACGUAGGGUGCGGAGCGUUGUCCGGAAUUAUUGGGCGUAAAGGGCUCGUAGGCGGUUUGUCGCGUCGGGAGUGAAAUCCACUGGCUUAACUGGUGGCUUGCUUUCGAUACGGGCAGACUGGAGGUAUGCAGGGGAGAACGGAAUUCCUGGUGUAGCGGUGAAAUGCGCAGAUAUCAGGAGGAACACCGGUGGCGAAGGCGGUUCUCUGGGCAUGUCCUGACGCUGAGGAGCGAAAGUGUGGGGAGCGAACAGG
This 254-nucleotide ribosomal RNA is filed under the name uncultured bacterium. RNAcentral's name for it is "partial 16S ribosomal RNA". It matches the Rfam family "Bacterial small subunit ribosomal RNA", at positions 524 to 776 of the family's 1533-position model. The record is from RNAcentral.